CAGCAGCCACGGGAAUACGAAGGGUGCAAGCGUUACUCGGAAUUACUGGGCGUAAAGCGUGCGUAGGUGGUGGUUUAAGUCCGUUGUGAAAGCCCUGGGCUCAACCUGGGAAUUGCAGUGGAUACUGGGUCACUAGAGUGUGGUAGAGGAUAGUGGAAUUUCCGGUGUAGCAGUGAAAUGCGUAGAGAUCGGAAGGAACAUCUGUGGCGAAGGCGACUAUCUGGGCCAACACUGACACUGAGGCACGAAAGCGUGGGGAGCAAACAGGAUUAGAUACCCCUGUAGUCCCUGUCUCUUAUAC
RNAcentral lists this ribosomal RNA (301 nucleotides) under uncultured bacterium. RNAcentral describes it as "partial 16S ribosomal RNA". It matches the Rfam family "Bacterial small subunit ribosomal RNA", at positions 509 to 807 of the family's 1533-position model. The record is from RNAcentral.